GGCCGUGCACGCUCGUCGUCCCCUCAUUUCUCCAUCUCUUUGUGCAUCGCUUGUGUAGAUCAUUAGGACUGCUUUGCGAAUGGGGGAGACCCUUUUGGUGGGGCUUUCCUUGGAUCUACGUCCUCUUCACAUGCUCCAGUGUAAUAUUAGGAAGGAAAUUUAUGAAAUUGUUUAUACAACUUUCAGCAACGGAUCUCUUGGCUCUCGCAUCGAUGAAGAACGCAGCGAAAUGCGAUAAGUAAUGUGAAUUGCAGAAUUCAGUGAAUCAUCGAAUCUUUGAACGCAUCUUGCGCUCCUUGGUAUUCCGAGGAGCAUGCCUGUUUGAGGGUCAUUAAUAUCUCAACCACAUCUCUGUGUGUGUGGCUUGGACUCUUGGGGGGACAGUGCAGGGACUUGUGUGGUCCUGCUCCCCUGAAAUGCAUGAGCGGUUUUGUGUGACCUCUGCUCUAGGUGUGAUAACAUAUCUGCAUCUGACCAGGGCUCCGAGCUGCCAUAGGAGAAAAGGCCCCUUUGCUCUUUGACCUCAAAUCAGGUAGGACCACCCGCUGAACUUAAGCAUAUCAAUAAGCGGAGGA
RNAcentral lists this ribosomal RNA (575 nucleotides) under uncultured Inocybe. RNAcentral's name for it is "eukaryotic LSU rRNA". The stretch from base 178 to 331 matches the Rfam family "5.8S ribosomal RNA". The record is from RNAcentral. Lineage: Eukaryota; Fungi; Basidiomycota; Agaricomycetes; Agaricales; Cortinariaceae.